UGUCGAGGAAAAGAAACUUAACAAGGAUUCCCCUUAGUUAACUGCGAGUGAAGCGGGAAAAGCUCAAAUUUAAAAUCUGGCAGUCUUUGGCUGUCCGAGUUGUAAUCUAGAGAAGUAUUAUCCGCGCUGGACCGUGUACAAGUCUCCUGGAAUGGAGCGUCAUAGAGGGUGAGAAUCCCGUCUUUGACACGGACUGCCAGGGCUUUGUGAUGUGCUCUCAAAGAGUCGAGUUGUUUGGGAAUGCAGCUCAAAAUGGGUGGUAAAUUCCAUCUAAAGCUAAAUAUUGGCGAGAGACCGAUAGCGAACAAGUACCGUGAGGGAAAGAUGAAAAGAACUUUGGAAAGAGAGUUAAACAGUACGUGAAAUUGCUGAAAGGGAAACGCUUGAAGUCAGUCGCGUUGGCCAGGGAUCAACCUUGCUUUUUUGCUUGGCUUACUUUCUGGUUGAUGGGUCAGCAUCAAUUUUGACUGGUGGAAAAAGUUCAAGGGAAUGUGGCAUCUUCUGAUGUGUUAUAGCCUUUGUUCGCAUACAUCGGUUGGGAUUGAGGAACUCAGCACGCCGCAAGGCCGGGUUUUUAACCACGUACGUGCUUAGGAUGCUGGCAUAAUGGCUUUAAUCGACCCGUCUUGAAACACGGACCAAGGAGUCUAACAUGCCUGCGAGUGUUUGGGUGAAAAACUCGAGCGCGUAAUGAAAGUGAAAGUUGAGAUCCCUGUCAUGGGGAGCAUUGACGCCCGGAUCUGACCUUUUGUGACGAUUCUGCGGUAGAGCAUGUAUGUUGGGACCCGAAAGAUGGUGAACUAUGCCUGAAUAGGGUGAAGCCAGAGGAAACUCUGGUGGAGGCUCGUAGCGAUUCUGACGUGCAAAUCGAUCGUCAAAUUUGGGUAUAGGGGCGAAAGACUAAUCGAACCAUCUAGUAGCUGUCUGC
Molecule: ribosomal RNA, 928 nt
Filed under: Laccaria sp. AWW593
Lineage: Eukaryota; Fungi; Basidiomycota; Agaricomycetes; Agaricales; Hydnangiaceae
Description: eukaryotic LSU rRNA
Rfam family: Eukaryotic large subunit ribosomal RNA
Source: RNAcentral